RNAcentral lists this ribosomal RNA (1372 nucleotides) under uncultured bacterium. RNAcentral describes it as "bacterial SSU rRNA". It matches the Rfam family "Bacterial small subunit ribosomal RNA", at positions 28 to 1381 of the family's 1533-position model. The record is from RNAcentral.
GAUGAACGCUGGCGGCGUGCCUAAUACAUGCAAGUCGAGCGAACGGACGAGAAGCUUGCUUCUCUGAUGUUAGCGGCGGACGGGUGAGUAACACGUGGAUAACCUACCUAUAAGACUGGGAUAACUUCGGGAAACCGGAGCUAAUACCGGAUAAUAUUUUGAACCGCAUGGUUCAAAAGUGAAAGACGGUCUUGCUGUCACUUAUAGAUGGAUCCGCGCUGCAUUAGCUAGUUGGUAAGGUAACGGCUUACCAAGGCAACGAUGCAUAGCCUACCUGAGAGGGUGAUCGGCCACACUGGAACUGAGACACGGUCCAGACUCCUACGGGAGGCAGCAGUAGGGAAUCUUCCGCAAUGGGCGAAAGCCUGGCGGAGCAACGCCGCGUGAGUGAUGAAGGUCUUCGGAUCGUAAAACUCUGUUAUUAGGGAAGAACAUAUGUGUAAGUAACUGUGCACAUCUUGACGGUACCUAAUCAGAAAGCCACGGCUAACUACGUGCCAGCAGCCGCGGUAAUACGUAGGUGGCAAGCGUUAUCCGGAAUUAUUGGGCGUAAAGCGCGCGUAGGCGGUUUUUUAAGUCUGAUGUGAAAGCCCACGGCUCAACCGUGGAGGGUCAUUGGAAACUGGAAAACUUGAGUGCAGAAGAGGAAAGUGGAAUUCCAUGUGUAGCGGUGAAAUGCGCAGAGAUAUGGAGGAACACCAGUGGCGAAGGCGACUUUCUGGUCUGUAACUGACGCUGAUGUGCGAAAGCGUGGGGAUCAAACAGGAUUAGAUACCCUGGUAGUCCACGCCGUAAACGAUGAGUGCUAAGUGUUAGGGGGUUUCCGCCCCUUAGUGCUGCAGCUAACGCAUUAAGCACUCCGCCUGGGGAGUACGACCGCAAGGUUGAAACUCAAAGGAAUUGACGGGGACCCGCACAAGCGGUGGAGCAUGUGGUUUAAUUCGAAGCAACGCGAAGAACCUUACCAAAUCUUGACAUCCUUUGACAACUCUAGAGAUAGAGCCUUCCCCUUCGGGGGACAAAGUGACAGGUGGUGCAUGGUUGUCGUCAGCUCGUGUCGUGAGAUGUUGGGUUAAGUCCCGCAACGAGCGCAACCCUUAAGCUUAGUUGCCAUCAUUAAGUUGGGCACUCUAAGUUGACUGCCGGUGACAAACCGGAGGAAGGUGGGGAUGACGUCAAAUCAUCAUGCCCCUUAUGAUUUGGGCUACACACGUGCUACAAUGGACAAUACAAAGGGCAGCGAAACCGCGAGGUCAAGCAAAUCCCAUAAAGUUGUUCUCAGUUCGGAUUGUAGUCUGCAACUCGACUACAUGAAGCUGGAAUCGCUAGUAAUCGUAGAUCAGCAUGCUACGGUGAAUACGUUCCCGGGUCU